This 321-nucleotide long non-coding RNA is filed under the name Homo sapiens (human). Its description in RNAcentral is "non-protein coding lnc-ZNF670-ZNF695-1:1". Lineage: Eukaryota; Metazoa; Chordata; Mammalia; Primates; Hominidae. The record is from RNAcentral.
CCAGAUUCAAACUAGCAGGAACAGUUGGUCUUUGGCAGCAGGGAUACCUUAGAGCUGAGCUGCCACUCACCCAGAGGUGGUCCCAUGCCACCCACUGUCUGGGUCAAGGUUGGGGCAGGGCUGGUGUCCUGAACUGCAUUCUGAUGGGGCCCCAGUGGCUGCUGGUGCUGAAUGCCUUGCAAGAGAACGCUGAGGCCAACAGCCGCUGGCAGCGGCUCACCCAGGUUAUGUGUACUGUGCCCUUCUGUGUGCGAGUGACAAUUACAGGUGCUCCCUCCUCAGGAGGUGAGGAAGAUGGGAGGAUGAGUCUAAGACACAGGU